UCAGUAACAAAGAUUCAUCCUUGU
RNAcentral lists this non-coding RNA (24 nucleotides) under Ornithorhynchus anatinus (platypus). Its record names the gene oan-miR-802-5p. RNAcentral also lists the same sequence under 12 other names. The record is from miRBase by way of RNAcentral. Lineage: Eukaryota; Metazoa; Chordata; Mammalia; Monotremata; Ornithorhynchidae.